RNAcentral lists this long non-coding RNA (204 nucleotides) under Elaeis guineensis (African oil palm). RNAcentral's name for it is "long non-coding RNA (EGUI_LNC071164)". Lineage: Eukaryota; Viridiplantae; Streptophyta; Magnoliopsida; Arecales; Arecaceae. The record is from RNAcentral.
GUGCGGAUAAAUAGACGACUACAGAAGGAGGCUCAGGAUGGUGACCAACAAGGUUGCUCACCUUCAGAAGCAGUUGUCUGAAAGAGCCCAGGCCGUUUCGGUUCAAAGCUCCGACGAACUUCGAUCCUUGAGGGGAACCAUGGAGGAACUGUCCAUGGCCCUUGGGUAGGAGAAGGUCGAACUACAAUGACUUUUUUGUUCUUA